This 201-nucleotide unclassified non-coding RNA is filed under the name Hevea brasiliensis (rubber tree). Lineage: Eukaryota; Viridiplantae; Streptophyta; Magnoliopsida; Malpighiales; Euphorbiaceae. The record is from RNAcentral.
CGAACUUCACCCUGGUCUGUUUGCUAAGCACACAGUGUUCACAAAAGUUCAUAGAUUCUAUUUUAUGCCUGUCCAAUAAAUCUCGCUUGUUCAACACAGAUAAUCCUUUUUCGCUCCCUGAAACUGUACUGUCCCGAAAAAAUACAAUCCUGAAAUCAAACCGCUCUUCAUGAGUACCAUAGAGCCUUUGCACACUUUGAG